This 74-nucleotide transfer RNA is filed under the name Tetraodon nigroviridis (spotted green pufferfish). RNAcentral describes it as "tRNA (ENSTNIG00000000355.1)". Lineage: Eukaryota; Metazoa; Chordata; Actinopteri; Tetraodontiformes; Tetraodontidae. The record is from RNAcentral.
UAAGAAGCUAACACGGGCCUAGCGUUAGCCUUUUAAGCUAAAGAGUGGUGCCUCCCAAACACCCUUAGUGACAU